This 216-nucleotide ribosomal RNA is filed under the name Glomeromycotina sp. RNAcentral describes it as "partial small subunit ribosomal RNA". The stretch from base 40 to 216 matches the Rfam family "Eukaryotic small subunit ribosomal RNA", at positions 686 to 864 of the family's 1831-position model. Lineage: Eukaryota; Fungi; Glomeromycota. The record is from RNAcentral.
GGGUCAUUAGGUUGGUCGUGCCACCGGUACGUACUGGUCUCACUGAUUCCUCCUUCCUGAAGAACCUUAAUGCCAUUAAUUUGGUGUUGCGGGGAAACAGGACUGUUACUUUGAAAAAAUUAGAGUGUUUAAAGCAAGCUAACGCUUGAAUACAUUAGCAUGGAAUAAUGAAAUAGGACGAUCGAUCCUAUUUUGUUGGUUUCUAGGAUUGACGUA